RNAcentral lists this unclassified non-coding RNA (151 nucleotides) under Botryosphaeria dothidea. Its description in RNAcentral is "sequence contains ITS2". The record is from RNAcentral. Lineage: Eukaryota; Fungi; Ascomycota; Dothideomycetes; Botryosphaeriales; Botryosphaeriaceae.
UGUACAAUCAAGCACUGCUUGGUGUUGGGACUCGCGGUAACCCGCGUUCCCCAAAUCGAUUGGCGGUCACGUCGAGCUUCCAUAGCGUAGUAAUCAUACACCUCGUUACUGGUAAUCGUCGCGGCCACGCCGUUAAACCCCAACUUCUGAA